Molecule: ribosomal RNA, 533 nt
Filed under: uncultured bacterium
Lineage: Bacteria
Description: bacterial SSU rRNA
Rfam family: Bacterial small subunit ribosomal RNA
Source: RNAcentral
AAAUAGAUACCCGGGUAGUCCACGCCGUAAACGAUGAGUGCUAAGUGUUAGAGGGUUUCCGCCCUUUAGUGCUGCAGCUAACGCAUUAAGCACUCCGCCUGGGGAGUACGGUCGCAAGACUGAAACUCAAAGGAAUUGACGGGGGCCCGCACAAGCGGUGGAGCAUGUGGUUUAAUUCGAAGCAACGCGAAGAACCUUACCAGGUCUUGACAUCCUCUGACAACUCUAGAGAUAGAGCGUUCCCCUUCGGGGGACAGAGUGACAGGUGGUGCAUGGUUGUCGUCAGCUCGUGUCGUGAGAUGUUGGGUUAAGUCCCGCAACGAGCGCAACCCUUGAUCUUAGUUGCCAGCAUUUAGUUGGGCACUCUAAGGUGACUGCCGGUGACAAACCGGAGGAAGGUGAGGAUGACGUCAAAUCAUCAUGCCCCUUAUGACCUGGGCUACACACGUGCUACAAUGGAUGGUACAAAGGGCUGCAAGACCGCGAGGUCAAGCCAAUCCCAUAAAACCAUUCUCAGUUCGGAUUGUAGGCCG